AGCCUGAUGCAGCGACGCCGCGUGAGGGAUGACGGCCUUCGGGUUGUAAACCUCUUUCAGUAGGGACGAAGCGAAAGUGACGGUACCUGCAGAAGAAGGACCGGCCAACUACGUGCCAGCAGCCGCGGUAAUACGUAGGGUCCGAGCGUUGUCCGGAAUUACUGGGCGUAAAGAGCUCGUAGGUGGUUUGUCGCGUUGUUCGUGAAAACUCACAGCUUAACUGUGGGCGUGCGGGCGAUACGGGCAGACUGGAGUACUGCAGGGGAGACUGGAAUUCCUGGUGUAGCGGUGGAAUGCGCAGAUAUCAGGAGGAACACCGGUGGCGAAGGCGGGUCUCUGGGCAGUAACUGACGCUGAGGAGCGAAAGCGUGGGGAGCGAACAGGAUUAGAUACCCUGGUAGUCCACGCCGUAAACGGUGGGUACUAGGUGUGGGUUUCCUUCCUUGGGAUCCGUGCCGUAGCUAACGCAUUAAGUACCCCGCCUGGGGAGUACGGCCGCAAGGCUAAAACUCAAAGGAAUUGACGGGGGCCCGCACAAGCGGCGGAGCAUGUGGAUUAAUUCGAUGCAACGCGAAGAACCUUACCUGGGUUUGACAUGCACAGGACGCCGGCAGAGAUGUCGGUUCCCUUGUGGC
RNAcentral lists this ribosomal RNA (635 nucleotides) under Mycobacterium sp. Se1Pt_272. Its description in RNAcentral is "bacterial SSU rRNA". It matches the Rfam family "Bacterial small subunit ribosomal RNA", at positions 380 to 1027 of the family's 1533-position model. Lineage: Bacteria; Bacillati; Actinomycetota; Actinomycetes; Mycobacteriales; Mycobacteriaceae. The record is from RNAcentral.